RNAcentral lists this ribosomal RNA (460 nucleotides) under uncultured bacterium. Its description in RNAcentral is "partial 16S ribosomal RNA". It matches the Rfam family "Bacterial small subunit ribosomal RNA", at positions 338 to 795 of the family's 1533-position model. The record is from RNAcentral.
CCUACGGGUGGCAGCAGUGAGGAAUAUUGGUCAAUGGGCGCAAGCCUGAACCAGCCAAGUAGCGUGAAGGAUGAAGGCCCUACGGGUUGCAGACUUCUUUUAUAGAGGGAUAAAAUGCGGCACUUGUGCCGUUUUGUAUGUACUUUAUGAAUAAGCAUCGGCUAACUCCGUGCCAGCAGCCGCGGUAAUACGGAGGAUUCGAGCGUUAUCCGGAUUUAUUGGGUUUAAAGGGAGCGUAGAUGGGUUGUUAAGUCAGUUGUGAAAUUAUGGGGCUCAACCGUCAAAUUGCAAUUGAUACUGGCAGCCUUGAGUACAGGUGAGGUAGGCGGAAUUCGUGGUGUAGCGGUGAAAUGCUUAGAUAUCACGAAGAACCCCGAUUGCGAAGGCAGCCUGCUAAACUGCCACUGACAUUGAGGCUCGAAAGUGUGGGUAUCAAACAGGAUUAGAUACCCUAGUAGUC